RNAcentral lists this ribosomal RNA (843 nucleotides) under uncultured Oscillospiraceae bacterium. Its description in RNAcentral is "bacterial SSU rRNA". It matches the Rfam family "Bacterial small subunit ribosomal RNA", at positions 28 to 876 of the family's 1533-position model. The record is from RNAcentral. Lineage: Bacteria; Bacillati; Bacillota; Clostridia; Eubacteriales; Oscillospiraceae.
GAUGAACGCUGCGCGUGCUACACAUGCAAGUCGAACGGAGUGCUCUCGAAAGAGGAUUCGUCCAAUUGAGAGAGUUACUUAGUGGCGGACGGGUGAGUAACGCGUGAGGAACCUGCCUUGGAGUGGGGAAUAACAGUUAGAAAUGACUGCUAAUACCGCAUAAUGCAAUUGUAUCGCAUGGUACUGAUUGCCAAAGAUUUAUCGCUCUGAGAUGGCCUCGCGUCUGAUUAGCUAGUUGGUAGGGUAACGGCCUACCAAGGCGACGAUCAGUAGCCGGACUGAGAGGUUGGCCGGCCACAUUGGGACUGAGACACGGCCCAGACUCCUACGGGAGGCAGCAGUGGGGAAUAUUGGGCAAUGGGCGCAAGCCUGACCCAGCAACGCCGCGUGAAGGAAGAAGGCUUUCGGGUUGUAAACUUCUUUUGUCAGGGACGAAGUAAUGACGGUACCUGACGAAUAAGCCACGGCUAACUACGUGCCAGCAGCCGCGGUAAUACGUAGGUGGCAAGCGUUAUCCGGAUUUACUGGGUGUAAAGGGCGUGUAGGCGGGACUGCAAGUCAGAUGUGAAAACCACGGGCUCAACCUGUGGCCUGCAUUUGAAACUGUAGUUCUUGAGUGUCGGAGAGGUAAUCGGAAUUCCUAGUGUAGCGGUGAAAUGCGUAGAUAUUAGGAGGAACACCAGUGGCGAAGGCGGAUUACUGGACGAUAACUGACGCUGAGGCGCGAAAGCGUGGGGAGCUAACAGGAUUAGAUACCCUGGUAGUCCACGCUGUAAACGCUCUCUAGGUGUGGGGGGUCUGACCCCCUCCGUGCCGCAGUUAACACAAUAAKUWCCCACCUGG